CAAGGUCCCGUGAGGGAAAGUUGCAAAGCACUUUGAAGAGAGAGUUAAAGAGGACGUGAAACCGGUAGGAUGGAAACGGAUAGAGCCAGCGAAGCUGCUUGUAUUCAGCCAAAAGCUAUGGGCUUCGGGCGGUUGGGUUGCUAAUCACACUCGACUGUUUGUUUGCCUGUGGUUGAGGUGCAUUUGCAGGCAAUUGCGCCGAGACUUGUGGGGUAGUGGCAGGACGCGUGAAUAGAGGCUUCCCUCUGGGUUGAACCUUUUCGCGUUGAUGGCUAUUUGCCCUGCUCGUAAUCGGGCUUGGCCUACGGACCUGGCCGUAGUCGUUGUGUUUGUUCGGUGAGGUCGCAUGCGACUUCUAGUUCGGGCGUUUCGAUUGCGUACUGGCUCCCAAGCUCGCUCUCGGUGUAGGAGCUGGUCAUCUAUCCGACCCGUCUUGAAACACGGACCAAGGAGUUUAGCGUAUGCGCGAGUCAUUGGGCGUUGAAAACCCAAAGGCGCAAUGAAAGUGAAGGCCCAGUCGCUGGGCUUACGUGCGAGUGAUAGGUCUUCGGAUUUGUCAUGCAGCAUGGUCCCGUUCCGAUCGCUUGCGAUGGAGCGGAGAUAGAGCGUAUGCGCUGAGACCCGAAAGAUGGUGAACUAUUCCUGAGCAGGACGAAGCCAGAGGAAACUCUGGUGGAAGUCCGAAGCGAUUCUGACGUGCAAAUCGAUCGUCUGACUUGGGUAUAGGGGCGAAAGACUAAUCGAACCAUCUAGUAGCUGUUUCUCUUUCGAA
Molecule: ribosomal RNA, 772 nt
Filed under: Paratylenchus sinensis
Lineage: Eukaryota; Metazoa; Nematoda; Chromadorea; Rhabditida; Tylenchulidae
Description: partial large subunit ribosomal RNA
Rfam family: Eukaryotic large subunit ribosomal RNA
Source: RNAcentral